RNAcentral lists this ribosomal RNA (447 nucleotides) under uncultured bacterium. Its description in RNAcentral is "partial 16S ribosomal RNA". It matches the Rfam family "Bacterial small subunit ribosomal RNA", at positions 29 to 523 of the family's 1533-position model. The record is from RNAcentral.
AGCGAACGCUGGCGGCAGGCCUAACACAUGCAAGUCGAGCGCCCAGCAAUGGGAGCGGCAGACGGGAUAGUAACACGCGGGAACGUGCCCUUUGGUUCGGAAUAACUCAGGGAAACUUGAGCUAAUACCGGAUAAGCCCUUCGGGGGAAAGAUUUAUUGCCAUUGGAGCGGCCCGCGUCGGAUUAGCUAGUUGGUGAGGUAAUGGCUCACCAAGGCGACGAUCCGUAGCUGGUCUGAGAGGAUGACCAGCAUCACUGGGACUGAGACACGGCCCAGACUCCUACGGGAGGCAGCAGUGGGGAAUAUUGGACAAUGGGCGCAAGCCUGAUCCAGCCAUGCCGCGUGGAUGAUGAAGGCCCUAGGGUUGUAAAGUCCUUUUAACGGGGAAGAUAAUGACGGUACCCGUAGAAUAAGCCCCGGCUAACUUCGUGCCAGCCGCCGCAGUAA